GCUUUCUCUCUCUGUUGAGGAAAAUGAUCUGGAGGUGCUGGUUGAUGCUUGCCUCAACACAAGCCGGCAGUGUGCCCAGGUGGCCAAGAAGGCCAACAGCACCCUGGCUUGUGUCAGGAGCAGUGCAGCCAGCAGGGCCAGGGAGGUGAUCGUCCCCCUAUGCACUCUGC
Molecule: long non-coding RNA, 170 nt
Organism: Oxyura jamaicensis (ruddy duck)
Lineage: Eukaryota; Metazoa; Chordata; Aves; Anseriformes; Anatidae
Exons: 3
Source: RefSeq, a predicted model, not a curated record